CAGGACACAAAUGGACACGUCAAAUCUCUCAGCAAGGUCUUGCCGAUUCUGUCUGAUGCGCCCACUUCGGACGCUCCUGAGAUCGUCAGAAAUGAGGAGGAAGUCGUUGGCUGUGUCGGCAUCCAAGGUCAUAUCCACUGUGAAAAGGAAAAAAGUUGCUCAGCAAAUGGACAGAAGCCAACCCCAUGCCUCUCCCCUACUUCCAAGGCCCAAAUAUCUCUUGACUUUGGUUUCUUUAAUUCUCUUCUUCCCCCAAAAUCAAAACGUUUCAAGAGGCAACUUCCCUGACUAGUUCAAAUUCUCAUAGGUAGGUAUGCUUUGUGGCAAUACCCGACUCUUAUU
This 342-nucleotide small RNA is filed under the name Pongo abelii (Sumatran orangutan). RNAcentral describes it as "pseudogene". Lineage: Eukaryota; Metazoa; Chordata; Mammalia; Primates; Hominidae. The record is from RNAcentral.